Long non-coding RNA from Jaculus jaculus (lesser Egyptian jerboa), 389 nucleotides. RefSeq lists it as uncharacterized. The transcript has 4 exons. The record is from RefSeq and is a predicted model, not a curated record. Lineage: Eukaryota; Metazoa; Chordata; Mammalia; Rodentia; Dipodidae.
GCACUGAGUCAGGCUGGGGUUCAAACAUGUAAGGAGGAUCCUAAGGCAAACAGACUGAGUCAGCUGCAGGUCCAAGGGAAGCAGAUAAGGCAUCACAGUUAUUUGCUCAGAACAGGCUCUUCAGCAGAAUUGACUAGGGAGGACUGGAUGUCUCCAUUCUUUACAGCCUUCUCAUCUUAAGGGAACCAGUUUCUUCUGCCACUGAUGGAACUUCCUCUGAAUCUGUAAGGCUGGUCAAAGAUGAAAGUGCCAAUAAAGUGUGGACUGCUCUGCUCCUUCCAUUGACACACAGCACUUUCCGCAGCUUCUCCAGGCUCCACAGACACUUGCCAGAUGGUGGUGACUACUGGGAAGACUUAAAAUGCAUCAAAGUGCUGAAAAGAAGCGAC